Molecule: ribosomal RNA, 646 nt
Filed under: Leptographium procerum
Lineage: Eukaryota; Fungi; Ascomycota; Sordariomycetes; Ophiostomatales; Ophiostomataceae
Description: partial large subunit ribosomal RNA
Rfam family: Eukaryotic large subunit ribosomal RNA
Source: RNAcentral
UGACCUCGGAUCAGGUAGGACUACCCGCUGAACUUAAGCAUAUCAAUAAGCGGAGGAAAAGAAACCAACAGGGAUUGCCCCAGUAACGGCGAGUGAAGCGGCAACAGCUCAGAUUUGGAAUCUGGCCCCCAGGGCCCGAGUUGUAAUCUGGAGAGGAUGCUUCUGGCGCGGCGCCUUCCGAGUUCCCUGGAACGGGACGCCGGAGAGGGUGAGAGCCCCGUACGGUUGGACGCCUAGCCUUUGUAAAGCUCCUUCGACGAGUCGAGUAGUUUGGGAAUGCUGCUCAAAAUGGGAGGUAAAUUUCUUCUAAAGCUAAAUACCGGCCAGAGACCGAUAGCGCACAAGUAGAGUGAUCGAAAGAUGAAAAGCACUUUGAAAAGAGGGUCAAACAGUACGUGAAAUUGUUGAAAGGGAAGCGCCCGUGGCCAGACUUGUGCCCCGCGGACCACCCGGCGCCCUCAGCGCCGGUGCACUCCGCGGGGCGCAGGCCAGCAUCGGUUUUCCUAGGGGGAUAAAGGCGGCGGGAACGUGGCUCCUUCGGGAGUGUUAUAGCCCGUCGUGCCAUGCCCCUGGGGGGACCGAGGACCGCGCUUCGGCAAGGAUGCUGGCGUAAUGGCCACCGGCGACCCGUCUUGAAACACGGACC